RNAcentral lists this ribosomal RNA (486 nucleotides) under uncultured bacterium. Its description in RNAcentral is "partial 16S ribosomal RNA". It matches the Rfam family "Bacterial small subunit ribosomal RNA", at positions 28 to 507 of the family's 1533-position model. The record is from RNAcentral.
GAUGAACGCUGGCGGCGUGCCUAAUACAUGCAAGUCGAACGCUGGAAAUCUAGCUUGCUAGAUUGAAGGAGUGGCGAACGGGUGAGUAAUACAUAAGCAACCUACCCACGAAGACUGGGAUAAUCUCUGGAAACGGGGACUAAUACCGGAUAGGUAAUCGGAAGGCAUCUUCUGAUUAUUAAAGGUUAAAAACACUGGUGGAUGGGCUUAUGGCGCAUUAGUUAGUUGGUGAGGUAACGGUCCACCAAGACGAUGAUGCGUAGCCGGCCUGAGAGGGUGAACGGCCACAUUGGGACUGAGACACGGCCCAGACUCCUACGGGAGGCAGCAGUAGGGAAUUUUCGGCAAUGGGGGAAACCCUGACCGAGCAACGCCGCGUGAGUGAUGACGGCCUUCGGGUUGUAAAGCUCUGUUGUAAGGGAAGAACGGUAGAUAGAGAAUAUCUAAAUGACGGUACCUUACCAGAAAGCCACGGCUAACUACGUG